Molecule: ribosomal RNA, 428 nt
Filed under: uncultured bacterium
Lineage: Bacteria
Description: bacterial SSU rRNA
Rfam family: Bacterial small subunit ribosomal RNA
Source: RNAcentral
UCGAGGAUUUUUCUCAAUGGGGGAAACCCUGAAGGAGCGACGCCGCGUGAGGGAUGAAGGUCUUCGGAUUGUAAACCUCUGUCAUGCGGGAUCAAUGCUUACGACCUAACACGUCGUAAGUUGAUAGUACUGCAAGAGGAAGCAGUGGCUAACUCUGUGCCAGCAGCCGCGGUAAUACAGAGACUGCAAGCGUUGUUCGGAUUCAUUGGGCGUAAAGGGUCCGCAGGUGGUCCGGUAAGUCGGAUGUGAAAUCCCAUGGCCUAACCAUGGAAAGUCGUUCGAAACUGCCGAGCUAGAGGACUGGAGAGGAGGCUGGAAUAGUCGGUGUAGCGGUGAAAUGCGUAGAUAUCGACUAGAACACCAGUAGCGAAGGCGAGCCUCUGGACAGCUCCUGACACUCAGGGACGAAAGCUAGGGGAGCAAACGGG